GGGGCAGCAUUAGUUUGCUUGCAAACUGGAUGGCGACCGGCGCACGGGUGAGUAACACGUAUCCACCUGCCGAUAACUCCGGAAUAGCCUUUCGAAAGAAAGAUUAAUACCGGAUAGCAUCGCAUGAUUAAAGAAUUUCGGUUAUCGAUGGGGAUGCGUUCCAUUAGUUUGUUGGCGGGGUAACGGCCCACCAAGACUACGAUGGAUAGGGGUUCUGAGAGGAAGGUCCCCCACAUUGGAACUGAGACACGGUCCAAACUCUACGGGAGGCAGCAGUGAGGAAUAUUGGUCAAUGGGCGAGAGCCUGAACCAGCCAAGUAGCGUGAAGGAUGAAGGCUUAUGGGUCGUAAACUUCUUUUAUAUGGGAAUAAGUUUUCCACGUGUGGAAUUUUGUAUGUACCAUAUGAAUAAGGAUCGGCUAACUCCGUGCCAGCAGCCGCGGUAAUACGGAGGAUUCGAGCGUUAUCCGGAUUUAUUGGGUUUAAAGGGAGCGUAGGUGGAUUGUUAAGUCAGUUGUGAAAGUUUGCGGCUCAACCGUAAAAUUGCAGUUGAAACUGGCAGUCUUGAGUACAGUAGAGGUGGGCGGAAUUCGUGGUGUAGCGGUGAAAUGCUUAGAUAUCACGAAGAACUCCGAUUGCGAAGGCAGCUCACUAGACUGUCACUGACACUGAUGC
This 674-nucleotide ribosomal RNA is filed under the name uncultured bacterium. RNAcentral describes it as "bacterial SSU rRNA". It matches the Rfam family "Bacterial small subunit ribosomal RNA", at positions 66 to 752 of the family's 1533-position model. The record is from RNAcentral.